GCAUCGACAGCUCAGUGGCAGAGCAAUGGGGCGUUUGCCCAUGCGACCUGGGUUCGAGCCCUAGUCAAUGCA
Molecule: non-coding RNA, 72 nt
Organism: Phthorimaea operculella (potato tuberworm)
Lineage: Eukaryota; Metazoa; Arthropoda; Insecta; Lepidoptera; Gelechiidae
Source: the annotation of a GenBank genome assembly